RNAcentral lists this unclassified non-coding RNA (240 nucleotides) under soil metagenome. RNAcentral describes it as "partial contains 5.8S ribosomal RNA, internal transcribed spacer 2, and large subunit ribosomal RNA". The record is from RNAcentral.
AACUGAUACUACCUGCGGGAACCUGCGGAGGGAUCAUUACUGAAGUGAUUUGGGGAUGUUGCUGGCCCUCUCUCAAGGGGGGGCACUGUGCACUCCUCGAAACAAUUCACAAUUUCCAUCACACCCCUUGUGCACACCUUGUAGGCACCCAAACCCACCUCCGGGUGGUGGGGUCCUAUGUAUUCCUUCAUCUCACACUCUGUUGAAUGGUGCCACGGGACGCAUCUAAAGGAUUAUUUG